UUCUUUGACUUCGCGUUUGGAAGAUGGCACGCUAUUCAGGUGAGGAAGCUCUUCAGAUGAUUUUGGACAGUGAGGAAGAAUUGACCUUUUUCUCAGAAGAAGAUUGCGACUCCGACGACGAACGGGUGCAUUUUGAAGAGUGAACUGAUCGAGCUGAGGAUUUUCCUGCAAGUUGUUAUGAUGAGUAAGUCUUGUAUAAUUCCUAUUCUGAUAAUAUAAAAGAGAAAUCAUUUUUCAGACUUUGUUUUGCCUAGUUUUGGCUAGCUUUUGGCAGCCUACGUGAAACAUUGCCUUUCAAUGUCAAUUACAAAUGUCCGCAAAUAUCUGCUCAAGUGUAAAUUUUUGUAAUGUGGUACAUUCUAAACAUUAUUAUUUCUAAUAGUAGCUUGCUUUUACAAAUAUCUGCUAAAGUGUAAAUGUUUCAUAUAUUUAUACAAAUUAUGUCCAUUUAACGGUGUUCGCUAAUGUCUCAGGCAUCUCAUGGCCCAUCAACAGAUAUUUGUCACCUAUCAACAGAUAUACACUGUGCGUCCAUACCCAUUAAUUGCCCACCUGUUUACUUUCAAUAAUGUAUGCUAAAAAUUUUUUAGUUAUUUAUUUUUUUUUAGGAAUGUGGUUGCAUCACCCUCGCCUUCACCAGCACCUCGCACCGGGGCACGCAGGUGACGUUCAGUUUUCAGUGUGAUCGAGAAUCAUACUGAACGUGACAGUGAAAAUGAUCAGCAACCUGUUCUAAAGAGAGCAAAGGCAAACAAACAGGCACAUGGAGGACAAAGACAUUUCCAUGUCCUGCACCUGUGACUGCAUACAACCAGCACAUGGGGGGUAUUGACCUGUCUGAUCAGCUGCUACAGUACUACACUACACAGCACAAAACAAUGAAGUGGUACAGAAAGAUUUUUCUACACUUCUUGGACAUUGCUGCCACCAAUGCUUUCAUUGUGCACAAAGAGCUAUAUAGUAACUUGUCCCAUAAAGAGUUGGGAACAACUUAUCAGAGCUUUGUGGUGUCUCACAGAAAGUAGCACCAAAAUGGACCAGUAGUGACCAUGUACCAGUUCCAGGAACUGACCUGACCUCAGAUGCCAGGAAUGUUGCCUCUGCUGGUCGCAAGAGCUGUGUGCAUUGCAAAGCAGUGCAUGGUAAGAAACAAAAAACACCAUGGAAAUGCCAGGCAUGCGAUGUGCACCUAUGUCUUCAAUUGAACAGGAACUGCUUUCAAGAGUGGCACAGAGAUGUAUGAUUGUGUAUAGGGUGUAAGAGUGGGCUUUUACAAACCUUACACCCUUUUUAUUUUGCACUGUUCCUGUUUGCACUGUACAACUACAUGUUUCAUGUGUAAAUUUUUUACACUGAAUGUCUGUUUUUGCACAGUUUUGCCCUGAAUGUAUCUUCUGUACCACUACAUGUUUCAUGUGUAAAUUCAAGUAUAUGUCUUAAGUUUUAUGUAAAGUACAUGUAUAAGACAACUCUUUCAGUAUGUUUGCUAUGUGUAGGUUUAUAUACACUCCUGUGUUGUUUUUUUGUUUGUUUCUAAUAAACUGUUUACAUGCA
Pangasianodon hypophthalmus (striped catfish) is the source of this 1554-nucleotide long non-coding RNA. RefSeq lists it as uncharacterized. Lineage: Eukaryota; Metazoa; Chordata; Actinopteri; Siluriformes; Pangasiidae. The transcript has 2 exons. The record is from RefSeq and is a predicted model, not a curated record.